RNAcentral lists this non-coding RNA (148 nucleotides) under Chlorocebus sabaeus (green monkey). Lineage: Eukaryota; Metazoa; Chordata; Mammalia; Primates; Cercopithecidae. The record is from Rfam by way of RNAcentral.
GCCAGGCGUGGUGGCGCAUGCCUGUAGUCCCAGCUACUUGGGAGGCUGAGACAGGAGAAUCGCUUGAACCCAAGAGACGGAGGUUGCAGUGAGCUGAGAUUGUGCCACGGCACUCCAGCCUGGGUGAUAGAGUGAGACUCUGUCUCAA